Non-coding RNA from Cinara cedri, 258 nucleotides. NCBI's taxonomy places the organism in Eukaryota, Metazoa, Arthropoda, Insecta, Hemiptera, Aphididae. The record is from the annotation of a GenBank genome assembly.
AAUCCCUGAUUUUAAUUGCCCGGUAUUUCUUGUUUUGUGUGUUGGUUGACGUGUUUUUCUUAUCGUUGUCAUUUAAAUACUCUCUGCAAUGAAACGCUGUGAAGAUUUUAUCAAUUUAUCUAUCUAUUUUUUGUCGAUUAACUAUCAAUCGACGAACUGUUGACUCAGUAGAAGCCUCAUAGUUUGACCCAUGACCGGUCUAAGAUGGCGCAUUGUUUUGAUAUAACUUUCAUUAUGGUAUGAAAAAGUCUACAAAAU